RNAcentral lists this unclassified non-coding RNA (328 nucleotides) under soil metagenome. Its description in RNAcentral is "partial contains 5.8S ribosomal RNA, internal transcribed spacer 2, and large subunit ribosomal RNA". The stretch from base 1 to 119 matches the Rfam family "5.8S ribosomal RNA", at positions 35 to 154 of the family's 154-position model. The record is from RNAcentral.
GAUGAAGAACGUAGCGAAAUGCGAUAAGUAAUGCGAAUUGCAGAAUCCGUGAGUCAUCGAAUCUUUGAACGCACAUUGCGCCCCCUGGUAUUCCGGGGGGCAUGCCUGUCCGAGCGUCAUUACAACCCUCAAGCUCAGCUUGGUAUUGGGCCCCGCCGCUCCGGCGGGCCCUAAAGUCAGUGGCGGUGCCGUCCGGCUCCGAGCGUAGUAAUUCUUCUCGCUCUGGAGGUCCGGUCGUGUGCUCGCCAGCAACCCCCAAUUUUUUUCAGGUUGACCUCGGAUCAGGUAGGGAUACCCGCUGAACUUAAGCAUAUCAAUAAGCGGAGGA